UGAGGAAUAUUGCGCAAUGGGGGCAACCCUGACGCAGCGACGCCGCGUGAGUGAGGAAGGCCUUCGGGUCGUAAAGCUCUGUCAAAGGGAAAGAAAUGUAUAAUGGCUAAUACCUGUUAUAUUUGACGGUACCCUUAAAGGAAGCACCGGCUAACUCCGUGCCAGCAGCCGCGGUAAUACGGAGGGUGCAAGCGUUGUUCGGAAUCACUGGGCGUAAAGGGCGCGCAGGCGGUUUGGUAAGUCAGAUGUGAAAGCCCACGGCUUAACCGUGGAAGUGCAUUUGAAACUGCCAGACUUGAGUACCAGAGGGGAAAGUGGAAUUCCCGGUGUAGAGGUGAAAUUCGUAGAUAUCGGGAGGAAUACCGGUGGCGAAGGCGACUUUCUGGCUGGAUACUGACGCUGAGGCGCGAAAGCGUGGGGAGCAAACA
Molecule: ribosomal RNA, 428 nt
Filed under: uncultured bacterium
Lineage: Bacteria
Also listed under: 1 other name
Description: bacterial SSU rRNA
Rfam family: Bacterial small subunit ribosomal RNA
Source: RNAcentral